RNAcentral lists this ribosomal RNA (301 nucleotides) under uncultured bacterium. RNAcentral's name for it is "partial 16S ribosomal RNA". It matches the Rfam family "Bacterial small subunit ribosomal RNA", at positions 509 to 807 of the family's 1533-position model. The record is from RNAcentral.
CAGCCGCCGCGGGAAUACGUAGGUGGCAAGCGUUGUCCGGAAUUAUUGGGCGUAAAGGGCUCGCAGGCGGUUUCUUAAGUCUGAUGUGAAAGCCCCCGGCUCAACCGGGGAGGGUCAUUGGAAACUGGGAAACUUGAGUGCAGAAGAGGAGAGUGGAAUUCCACGUGUAGCGGUGAAAUGCGUAGAGAUGUGGAGGAACACCAGUGGCGAAGGCGACUCUCUGGUCUGUAACUGACGCUGAGGAGCGAAAGCGUGGGGAGCGAACAGGAUUAGAUACCCGCGUAGUCCCUGUCUCUUAUAC